RNAcentral lists this ribosomal RNA (253 nucleotides) under uncultured bacterium. RNAcentral's name for it is "partial 16S ribosomal RNA". It matches the Rfam family "Bacterial small subunit ribosomal RNA", at positions 524 to 776 of the family's 1533-position model. The record is from RNAcentral.
UACAGAGGUCCCGAGCGUUGUUCGGAUUCAUUGGGCGUAAAGGGUGCGUAGGUGGCGCCGUAAGUGGGGUGUGAAAUCCCGGGGCUUAACCCCGGGACUGCAUUCCAUACUGCGGUGCUUGAGGACUGGAGAGGAGACUGGAAUUUACGGUGUAGCGGUGAAAUGCGUAGAUAUCGUAAGGAAGACCAGUGGCGAAGGCGGGUCUCUGGACAGUUCCUGACGCUGAGGCACGAAGGUCAGGGGAGCGAACGGG